Molecule: ribosomal RNA, 885 nt
Filed under: uncultured eukaryote
Lineage: Eukaryota
Description: SSU rRNA
Rfam family: Eukaryotic small subunit ribosomal RNA
Source: RNAcentral
UGUGCCAGCAGCCGCGGUAAUUCCAGCUCCAAUAGCGUAUAUUAAAGUUGUUGCGGUUAAAAAGCUCGUAGUUGGAUCUCACUAGGUAGGGGGCGGUUCGUUUCUAACGGCACUGCCCCAUUUACCUAUGUUUUUGACGGAGGUCCCAAGGUGGCUUUAACCGGCUGUCUUGGUACGCCGUCAGGUUUACUUUGAAAAAAUUAGAGUGCUCAAAGCAGGCUACAAGGCUUGAAUAUUUGUGCAUGGAAUAAUGGAAUAGGAGGUCGUUUCUAUUUUUUGGUUUUCGGAAAUUGACUUAAUGAUUAAUAGGGACAGCCGGGGGCAUUAGUACUCAGACGACAGAGGUGAAAUUCUUGGACCGUUUGAGGACUAACUACUGCGAAAGCAUUUGCCAAGAGUGUUUUCAUUAAUCAAGAACGAAAGUUAGAGGUUCGAAGGCGAUCAGAUACCGCCCUAGUUCUAACCAUAAACGAUGCUGACUAGCGAUCCGUAGCUGUUUUCUAUGUAGGCUCUACGGGAAGCUUCCGGGAAACCAAAGUUUUUGAGUUCCGGGGGAAGUAUGGUUGCAAAGCUGAAACUUAAAGGAAUUGACGGAAGGGCACCACCAGGAGUGGAGCCUGCGGCUUAAUUUGACUCAACACGGGAAAUCUCACCAGGCCCGGACACUGGAAGGAUUGACAGAUUGAGAGCUCUUUCUCGAUUCAGUGGGUGGUGGUGCAUGGCCGUUCUUAGUUGGUGGAGUGAUUUGUCUGGUUAAUUCCGAUAACGAACGAGACUCUGUCCUGCUAAAUAGGUUUGCCGUCUCUUUUGCGGUAAACAUUCUUCUUAGAGGGACUGGCGGCGUCUAGCCGCACGAGAUUGAGCAAUAACAGGUCUGUGAUGCCC